AGUGAACGCUGGCGGCAGGCCUAACACAUGCAAGUCGAACGGCAGCACAAGAGCGCUUGCUCUCUGGGUGGCGAGUGGCGGACGGGUGAGGAAUGCAUCGGAAUCUGCCCAUUUGUGGGGGAUAACCUCGGGAAACCGGGACUAAUACCGCAUACGACCUACGGGUGAAAGCAGGGGAUCUUCGGACCUUGCGCAGAUGGAUGAGCCGAUGCCGGAUUAGCUAGUUGGAGGGGUAAAGGCCCACCAAGGCGACGAUCCGUAGCUGGUCUGAGAGGAUGAUCAGCCACACUGGGACUGCGACACGGCCCAGACUCCUACGGGAGGCAGCAGUGGGGAAUAUUGGACAAUGGGCGCAAGCCUGAUCCAGCCAUGCCGCGUGUGUGAAGAAGGCCUUCGGGUUGUAAAGCACUUUUGUUGGGAAAGAAAAGCAGCCGGUUAAUACCCGGUUGUCAUGACGGUACCCAAAGAAUAAGCACCGGCUAACUUCGUG
Molecule: ribosomal RNA, 490 nt
Filed under: uncultured bacterium
Lineage: Bacteria
Description: partial 16S ribosomal RNA
Rfam family: Bacterial small subunit ribosomal RNA
Source: RNAcentral